This 363-nucleotide ribosomal RNA is filed under the name Triticum aestivum (bread wheat). RNAcentral's name for it is "partial small subunit ribosomal RNA". Lineage: Eukaryota; Viridiplantae; Streptophyta; Magnoliopsida; Poales; Poaceae. The record is from RNAcentral.
AUGGCAAGAAUCUGCAAAAUCAGCAAAAUAAUCUCUAUUCUCUCGCAUUACUACUCACAAACAACCAGUAGCACAAAUAAAUCUCUCACACAAUGUCUAAAAAGUAACGUCCCGCAAGCACACAUGCACAGCAGUAGCAAGCAUGGAGGGGUUUGUAUUAGAUUAAGUAUUUGCCUUACCUCUGUUAGCUCAUCCAUAUAUUUAUCAUGGUGGAUUCCCUGUCUUUUGAUCCGGACGGCAUCUAUGUCUCUCUCUCUCUCUCUCUCUCUGUGUGUGUGUGUGUGUGUGUGUGUGUACUUGAUCUUAUACUAUCAAGUUAGAGUCACACAUGAACCAAUGGCAGUGGCAUGUAUCUACUCUUAG